CCUACGGGUGGCAGCAGUGAGGAAUAUUGGUUAAUGGGCGGAAGCCUGAACCAGCCAAGUAGCGUGCAGGAUGACGGCCCUACGGAUUGUAAACUGCUUUUAUACGGGAAUAAAGCCGCUUACGUGUGGGGCUUUGCAUGUACCGGAUGAAUAAGGACCGGCUAAUUCCGUGCCAGCAGCCGCGGUAAUACGGAAGGUCCGGGCGUUAUCCGGAUUUGUUGGGUUUAAAGGGUGCGUAGGCGGGCUUUUAAGGCAGCGGUAAAAAUGCGGGGCUCAACCCCGUACGGCCGUUGAAACUGGGGGCCGUGAGUGGGCGAGAAGAAGGCGGAAUGCGUGGUGUAGCGGUGAAAUGCAUAGAUAUCACGCAGAACCCAGAUUGCGAAGGCAGCCGUCCGGCGCCCUACUGACGCUGAGGCACGAAAGUGCGGGGAUCGAACAGGAUUAGAUACCCGGGUAGUC
Molecule: ribosomal RNA, 459 nt
Filed under: uncultured bacterium
Lineage: Bacteria
Description: partial 16S ribosomal RNA
Rfam family: Bacterial small subunit ribosomal RNA
Source: RNAcentral